RNAcentral lists this ribosomal RNA (88 nucleotides) under Nocardioides cavernae. Lineage: Bacteria; Bacillati; Actinomycetota; Actinomycetes; Propionibacteriales; Nocardioidaceae. The record is from RNAcentral. RNAcentral also lists the same sequence under 1 other name.
CGGUCCCAUACCGAACCCGGAAGUUAAGCCUUUCAGCGCCGAUGGUACUGCAACCGAGAGGUUGUGGGAGAGUAGGACGCCGCCGGAC